Non-coding RNA from Bacteroides clarus YIT 12056, 82 nucleotides. The record is from Rfam. Lineage: Bacteria; Pseudomonadati; Bacteroidota; Bacteroidia; Bacteroidales; Bacteroidaceae.
AUGCAAAUCAGCCUGAAGCUGCUUAUGUAUAUGUGAAUAUCCGUAAUUAGUACAUAUGCCUCCCCGGCAUAGACAGGUAAGA